Molecule: small nuclear RNA, 105 nt
Organism: Physeter macrocephalus (sperm whale)
Lineage: Eukaryota; Metazoa; Chordata; Mammalia; Artiodactyla; Physeteridae
Source: Ensembl
GCCUCACUCCUGUGGCACAUAUAACAACACUAAAAUAUUACAAAGAAGAUUAGUAUAGCCCCUGUGCAAAGAUGACUUACAAAUGUGUAAAGUUGCCAUAUUUUU